This 497-nucleotide ribosomal RNA is filed under the name uncultured bacterium. RNAcentral's name for it is "partial 16S ribosomal RNA". It matches the Rfam family "Bacterial small subunit ribosomal RNA", at positions 28 to 507 of the family's 1533-position model. The record is from RNAcentral.
GAUGAACGCUGGCGGCGUGCCUAAUACAUGCAAGUCGAGCGAACAGACGAGGAGCUUGCUCCUCUGCCGUUAGCGGCGGACGGGUGAGUAACACGUGGAUAACCUACCUAUAAGACUGGGAUAACUUCGGGAAACCGGAGCUAAUACCGGAUAAUAUAUUGAACCGCAUGGUUCAAUAGUGAAAGACGGUUUUGCUGUCACUUAUAGAUGGAUCCGCGCCGCAUUAGCUAGUUGGUAAGGUAACGGCUUACCAAGGCGACGAUGCGUAGCCGACCUGAGAGGGUGAUCGGCCACACUGGAACUGAGACACGGUCCAGACUCCUACGGGAGGCAGCAGUAGGGAAUCUUCCGCAAUGGGCGAAAGCCUGACGGAGCAACGCCGCGUGAGUGAUGAAGGUCUUCGGAUCGUAAAACUCUGUUAUUAGGGAAGAACAAAUGUGUAAGUAACUAUGCACGUCUUGACGGUACCUAAUCAGAAAGCCCCGGCUAACUACGUG